CAAAACCAAGGUGUUAUUUUAUUAUAUUAGUAUUUACAUUACCACCACUGACUGACGUUUCAGAAUUUUAUAUCCACAUUAGUUCACUUUGUAUUUGUACCUUAACUUUAAUCUGCUUCUCUAUUUUUCUCUCCCUGCCUAGUUGGGGUUUUGAUUUUUUCUUACAGUAAUUUGACCCAACCGCCCACUCACUCACCCACAGGGUCUGGCUGAUUUGAAAGCUGAAUUCUACUUGGGAAUGUCUCUGUAUUGGCUUUUGUUGAGCUAGAGAAAGGAGGAAAAAUGGAAGGAAAUGAGCGUGAAUUGAUGUUAGCAUGUGUCAUUUCAGGGACCCUUUUCUCUCUCCUUGCUUUUGCUUCUUUUGCUUUACUUUGGGCUGUUAAUUGGCGCCCAUGGUGAAUUUAUAGUUGGAUCUUUGCUCGAAAAUGGCCGGGAUUCUUACAAGGCCCCCAGUUGGGAAUUAUAUGUAGUUUCUUGUCGCUGUCUGCAUGGAUAAUUGUGAUCUUUCCGGUUGUGGUGCUUGUUACAUGGGGAUGUUGGUUAAUGUUGAUAUUGGGGAGAGAUAUAGUUGGUCUAGCUGUAAUAAUGGCUGGAAGUUCUCUGCUUUUGGAAUUUUACUCAAUAAUGCUUCGGUGGAGAACACAGUGGCAAAGUUCAAGGGCUGUAGCUGUUCUCCUUCUACUAGCUGUUGGAUUGCUUUGUGCAUAUGAACUUUGUGCUGUGUAUGUCAAAGCCGGUGUUAGGGCAUCUGAAAGAUACUCACCAUCAGGGUUCUUCUUUGGUGUAUCGACAAUCUCCCUUGCAAUCAAUAUGCUAUUUAUUUGCAGGAUGGUCUUCAAUGGUGUGUUAUGAUGUCGCAUGAUCUAUAUAUGAGUUUUUCGAAGAUUGAUCAGCAGCUUGUUGUGAGCAUCUUUGCUUUAUUUUUUGGCUCAAAGUAGGACAAAUAUUUAGGGAAUUUUGUUGGUUAUUGUUUCCUAUUCAAGGGUCUAUUGAAAUCUUUACAGGAA
This is a long non-coding RNA of Capsicum annuum, 1007 nucleotides long. RefSeq lists it as uncharacterized. The transcript is spliced from 4 exons. The record is from RefSeq and is a predicted model, not a curated record. Lineage: Eukaryota; Viridiplantae; Streptophyta; Magnoliopsida; Solanales; Solanaceae.